GAUGAACGCUGGCGGCGUGCCUAAUACAUGCAAGUCGAACGCAUUGUGGUUGAAAUGAUAUGAAGAACUUGUUCAGAUUUGAUUUUCAACAUUGCAAUGAGUGGCGAACGGGUGAGUAACACGUGGGAAACCUACCUCUUAGCAGGGGAUAACAUUUGGAAACAAAUGCUAAUACCGUAUAAUAAUUAAAACCGCAUGGUUUUAGUUUAAAAGAUGGUCUUGCUAUCACUAAGAGAUGGUCCCGCGGUGUAUUAGUUAGUUGGUGAGGUAAUGGGCUCACCAAGACAAUGAUACAUAGCCGAGUUGAGAGACUGACCGGCACAAUGGGACUGAGACACGG
Molecule: ribosomal RNA, 340 nt
Filed under: uncultured bacterium
Lineage: Bacteria
Description: bacterial SSU rRNA
Rfam family: Bacterial small subunit ribosomal RNA
Source: RNAcentral